CCAGUUGGCCGGGCAGCCGCGCUUUACCAAUGCCGAAAGGCGGUAAGGUGAGGAAAGUCCGGGCUCCACGGAAACACGGUGCCGGAUAACGUCCGGCGAGGGCGACCUCAGGGAAAGUGCCACAGAAAGCAAACCGCCUGUCAUGACAGGUAAGGGUGAAAGGGUGGGGUAAGAGCCCACCGCAUCUCCGGCAACGGAUAUGGCACGGUAAACCCCACCGGGAGCAAGACCGAAUAGGGAUGACGCGGCGGGCCGAAACGCUCUCCGGCCGGUUUCCAGGCCAGUCAUCCGGGUGGGUUGCGUGAGGCAGCGUGCGAGCGCUGCCCCAGAGGAAUGGCUGCCACGUUCCGGUUCACGCCGGAGCCAUACAGAACCCGGCUUACAGGCCAACUGGCGAU
Molecule: RNase P RNA, 398 nt
Filed under: Rhizobium sp. L9
Lineage: Bacteria; Pseudomonadati; Pseudomonadota; Alphaproteobacteria; Hyphomicrobiales; Rhizobiaceae
Description: RNase P RNA component class A
Rfam family: Bacterial RNase P class A
About the family: Ribonuclease P (RNase P) is a ubiquitous endoribonuclease, found in archaea, bacteria and eukarya as well as chloroplasts and mitochondria.
Source: RNAcentral